This 254-nucleotide ribosomal RNA is filed under the name uncultured bacterium. RNAcentral describes it as "partial 16S ribosomal RNA". It matches the Rfam family "Bacterial small subunit ribosomal RNA", at positions 524 to 776 of the family's 1533-position model. The record is from RNAcentral.
UACGGGGGGGGGCAAGCGUUGUUCGGAAUUACUGGGCGUAAAGGGCUCGUAGGCGGCCAACUAAGUCGGAUGUGAAAUCCCCAGGCUCAACCUGGGAACUGCAUCCGAUACUGGAUGGCUUGAAUUCGGGAGAGGGAUGCAGAAUUCCAGGUGUAGCGGUGAAAUGCGUAGAUAUCUGGAGGAACACCGGUGGCGAAGGCGGUGGUCUGGGCCGUAACUGACGCUGAGGAGCGAAAGCGUGGGUAGCAAACAGG